RNAcentral lists this ribosomal RNA (479 nucleotides) under uncultured bacterium. Its description in RNAcentral is "bacterial SSU rRNA". It matches the Rfam family "Bacterial small subunit ribosomal RNA", at positions 31 to 507 of the family's 1533-position model. The record is from RNAcentral.
GAACGCUGGCGGCAUGCCUUACACAUGCAAGUCGAACGGCAGCGGACCUUCGGGUGCCGGCGAGUGGCGAACGGGUGAGUAAUAUAUCGGAACGUACCUUCAGGUGGGGGAUAACGUAGCGAAAGUUACGCUAAUACCGCAUAUUCUGUGAGCAGGAAAGCAGGGGAUCGCAAGACCUUGCGCUGAUUGAGCGGCCGAUAUCAGAUUAGCUAGUUGGUGAGGUAAAGGCUCACCAAGGCGACGAUCUGUAGCGGGUCUGAGAGGAUGAUCCGCCACACUGGAACUGAGACACGGUCCAGACUCCUACGGGAGGCAGCAGUGGGGAAUUUUGGACAAUGGGCGCAAGCCUGAUCCAGCCAUGCCGCGUGAGUGAAGAAGGCCUUCGGGUUGUAAAGCUCUUUCGGCCGGGAAGAAAUCGCACAGGUUAAUACCCUGUGUGGAUGACGGUACCGGAAUAAGAAGCACCGGCUAAUUACGUG